RNAcentral lists this small nuclear RNA (123 nucleotides) under Scleropages formosus (Asian bonytongue). Its description in RNAcentral is "U2 spliceosomal RNA (ENSSFOG00015031049.1)". It matches the Rfam family "U2 spliceosomal RNA". From Rfam's summary of the family: U2 is a small nuclear RNA (snRNA) component of the spliceosome (involved in pre-mRNA splicing). Complementary binding between U2 snRNA (in an area lying towards the 5' end but 3' to hairpin I) and the branchpoint sequence (BPS) of the intron results the bulging out of an unpaired adenosine, on the BPS, which initiates a nucleophilic attack at the intronic 5' splice site, thus starting the first of two transesterification reactions that mediate splicing. Lineage: Eukaryota; Metazoa; Chordata; Actinopteri; Osteoglossiformes; Osteoglossidae. The record is from RNAcentral.
AUCGCUUCUCGGCCUUUUGGCUAAGAUCAAGUGUAGUACCGUGGUUUUUUUUGCCGGGGGUAUAAGAGAGCUCUUCUACAGCAUAGCCCUUUUAAGGGCUUUCUACAUCAUUCUCAACCCGCC